AUUCCAGCUCCAAUAGCGUAUAUUAAAGUUGUUGUGGUUAAAAAGCUCGUAGUUGGAUCUCAACAGCCUUGAAGCGGUUAACUUUGUAGUUUUACUGCUUUAUAGGCUGUGCUUUUGCUGGAGGUUUAGGGGUGCUCUUGAUCGAGUGUCUCUGGAUGCCAGCAGGUUUACUUUGAAAAAAUUAGAGUGCUCAAAGCAGGCUAAAAUGCCUGAAUAUUCGUGCAUGGAAUAAUAGAAUAGGAUGUCGAUCCUAUUUUGUUGGUAUUCGGGACUCGACAUAAUGAUAAAUAGGAACAGUUGGGGGCAUUCGUAUUUAAUAGUCAGAGGUGAAAUUCUUAGAUUUAUUAAAGACGAACUAAAGCGAGAGCAUUUGCCAAGGAUGUUUUCAUCA
Molecule: ribosomal RNA, 391 nt
Filed under: Paracalanus sp.
Lineage: Eukaryota; Metazoa; Arthropoda; Copepoda; Calanoida; Paracalanidae
Description: partial small subunit ribosomal RNA
Rfam family: Eukaryotic small subunit ribosomal RNA
Source: RNAcentral